GUCCAUUCGGACGCCACAACGUGGAAGUAGGCAAGUGUUACUUGGCCGAACCACGGGAUAAAAAUCGCGUGUCUCUUGUGUUGGAUUCUCUGUGAUUGUUGUUCACAAGAACUCGCUUCAAAGCUACUUAGUCGCUAACGCUAUAACAUUUAUGUUUUGUGGCUAUUUAGAGUUUGAUUUUACAGGAUCACCUAUUCACCCCCCCUCUAGGUGAUCUCACAAAGCCCGGGGGGCCUAGGCGCCCCAGGCAGCCGCCGUUGGCGCGGACGGUAUCCGCGCGCCUCUGGUGCGCCCCUCGGGGCGCUGCGCCACAAUGGCCUAUGAGCUCCCCAUCUGACCCAUCUUGAAACACGGACCAAGGAGUCUGACAUGCGUGUGAGUCGACGGGUUCAGAAACCUGAGAUGCGCAAGGAAGCUGACGAGCGGGAGGCCCUCACGGGCCGCACCGCUGGCCGACCUUGAUCUUCUGUGAAGGGUUCGAGUUGGAGCACACCUGUCGGGGCCCGAAAGAUGGUGAACUAUGCCUGAGCGGGGCGAGGCCAGAGGAAACUCUAGUGGAGGCUCAAAGCGAUACUGACUUGCAAAUCGUUCGUCUGACUUGGGUAUAGGGGCGAAAUACUAAUCGAACCAUCUAGUAGCUGGUUCCCUCCGAAGCUUCCCUCAAGAUAGUUGGAGCCCACAUGAGUUCUAUCGAGUAAAGCCAAUGAUUAGAGGCAUCGAGGGCGCAAGGCCCUCGACCUAUUCUCAAACUUUAAAUAGGUAGGACGACACGGCUGCUCCGGUGAGCCGUGCCAUGGAAUCAGGAGCUCCAAGUGGGCCAUUUUUGGUAAGCAGAACUUGUGAUGCGGGAUGAAUCAGAAGCCGGGUUAUGGUGCCAAACUGUGCGCUAACCUAGAACCCACAAAGGGUGUUGGUCGAUUAAGACAGCAGGACGGUGGUCAUGGAAGUCGAAAUCCGCUAAGGAGUGUGUAACAACUCACCUGCCGAAUCAACUAGCCCCGAAAAUGGAUGGCGCUGAAGCGAGCGACCCACACCCGGCGUCCGGUGAGUAGGAGGGUGCGGCGGCCGCCGCAAAACCUGGGGCACGAGCCCGGGCGGAGCGGCCAUCGGUGCAGAUCUUGGUGGUAGUAGCCAAUAUUCAAAUGAGAACUUUGAAGGCCGAAGAGGAGAAAGGUUCCAUGUGAACGACACUUGCACAUGGGUAAGCUGAUCCUAAGGGACGGGGGAAACCCAGCAGAUAGCGCCAUCACGCGCGUCACCUGAAAGGGAAUCGGGUUAAGAUUUCCCGAGCCGGGACGUGGCGGCAGACGGAGACGUUAGGAAGUCCGGAGAGCCGGCGGGGCCUCGGGAAGAGUUAUCUUUUCUGCUUAACGGCCCGCCAACCUUGGAAUCGGUUUAGCCAAAGGUAGGGUCCAGCGGCCGGAAGAGCACCGCACAUCACGCGGUGUCCGGUGCGCCCCCGGCGGCCCUUGAAAAUCCGGAGGACCGAAUACCGUCCAAGCCCGGUCGUACUCAUAACCGCAUCAGGUCUCCAAGGUGAACAACCUCUAGCCAAUGGAACAAUGUAGGCAAGGGAAGUCGGCAAAAUGUAACUUUGGGAAAAGGAUUGGCUCUGAGGGUUGGGCUCGGGGGUCCCGGCCCCGAACCCGUCAGCUGCUGGCGGAAUGCUCAAGCUCCUCGCGCGGCGAGAGCGGGCCACCGCGUGCCGGCCGGGGGACGGACCAGGAACGGCCCCCUCGGGGGCCUUCCCCGGGCGUCGAACAACCGACUCAGAACUGGUACGGUCAAGGGGAAUCUGACUGUUUAAUUAAAACAAAGCAUUGCAAUGGUCCUCGAGGAUGCUGACGCAAUGUGAUUUCUGCCGAGUGCUCUGAAUGUCAAAGUGAAGAAAUUCAACCAAGUGCGGGUAAACGGCGGGAGUAACUAUGACUCUCUUAAGGUAGCCAAAUGCCUCGUCAUCUAAUUAGUGAUGCGCAUGAAUGGAUUAACAAGAUUCCCACUGUCCCUAUCUACUAUCCAGCGAAACCACUGUAACACCUCAGGUGUUACUUAGGGUUUUCACUUAAGACUACACAAGCCAAGCCCAUCAUCACAUGUGGUUGAAAUAGAGCAAAGCACCUCAAACUUGGAACUCAAGGUCCUAAGCAUGUGCAACACAUCUUAGAUAUCAUACCCUAACUUAUCUUGCACAUAUAAUGGGGAGUUUUGCCCAAACCCUAAUUCAAACCCCUUGGACAAGUGGAGCACUAUAAGUAAGUAUGACCCAAAAGGUUAUGAAAAACCCAUGAUCAUGAUUUGGGCCAUUUAUAAAAGUUGUAGUACCCUUAAUACCCUACAAUUAAUAGUAAGAAAGUGACCCCAAAAAGAAUUCAGAAAAGCCCCAAAAGGUUCACCAAAGGGUUGAGCACAAAAGAAAAAUCAGGAUUUUUCUAAGUCCAAAACCAACCCUUGGCCAAAGAUCACACAUGUUCACCCUC
This 2477-nucleotide ribosomal RNA is filed under the name Zea mays subsp. mays (maize). RNAcentral describes it as "eukaryotic LSU rRNA". It matches the Rfam family "Eukaryotic large subunit ribosomal RNA", at positions 445 to 3401 of the family's 3401-position model. Lineage: Eukaryota; Viridiplantae; Streptophyta; Magnoliopsida; Poales; Poaceae. The record is from RNAcentral.